This 910-nucleotide ribosomal RNA is filed under the name Mycobacterium sp. enrichment culture clone 11S_1. RNAcentral describes it as "bacterial SSU rRNA". It matches the Rfam family "Bacterial small subunit ribosomal RNA", at positions 54 to 1005 of the family's 1533-position model. The record is from RNAcentral. Lineage: Bacteria; Bacillati; Actinomycetota; Actinomycetes; Mycobacteriales; Mycobacteriaceae.
CUAUGCAGUCGAACGGAAAGGCCCUUCGGGGUACUCGAGUGGCGAACGGGUGAGUAACACGUGGGUGAUCUGCCCUGCACUUUGGGAUAAGCCUGGGAAACUGGGUCUAAUACCGAAUAGGACCACGCGCUUCAUGGUGUGUGGUGGAAAGCUUUUGCGGUGUGGGAUGGGCCCGCGGCCUAUCAGCUUGUUGGUGGGGUAAUGGCCUACCAAGGCGACGACGGGUAGCCGGCCUGAGAGGGUGACCGGCCACACUGGGACUGAGAUACGGCCCAGACUCCUACGGGAGGCAGCAGUGGGGAAUAUUGCACAAUGGGCGCAAGCCUGAUGCAGCGACGCCGCGUGAGGGAUGACGGCCUUCGGGUUGUAAACCUCUUUCAUAGGGACGAAGCGCAAGUGACGGUACCUGAAGAAGCACCGGCCAACUACGUGCCAGCAGCCGCGGUAAUACGUAGGGUGCGAGCGUUGUCCGGAAUUACUGGGCGUAAAGAGCUCGUAGGUGGUUUGUCGCGUUGUUCGUGAAAACUCACAGCUUAACUGUGGGCGUGCGGGCGAUACGGGCAGACUAGAGUACUGCAGGGGAGACUGGAAUUCCUGGUGUAGCGGUGGAAUGCGCAGAUAUCAGGAGGAACACCGGUGGCGAAGGCGGGUCUCUGGGCAGUAACUGACGCUGAGGAGCGAAAGCGUGGGGAGCGAACAGGAUUAGAUACCCUGGUAGUCCACGCCGUAAACGGUGGGUACUAGGUGUGGGUCCUUCCUUGGGAUCCGUGCCGUACUAACGCAUUAAGUACCCCGCCUGGGGAGUACGGCCGCAAGGUAAAACUCAAAGGAUUGACGGGGGCCCGCACAGGACUGUGGAUUAAUUCCAACCGAAAACCUUUGGGUUUGACUGCGACGAAAGCGUUCCUUG